Molecule: ribosomal RNA, 405 nt
Filed under: uncultured prokaryote
Description: bacterial SSU rRNA
Rfam family: Bacterial small subunit ribosomal RNA
Source: RNAcentral
UGGGGAAUAUUGGGCAAUGGGCGCAAGCCUGACCCAGCAACGCCGCGUGAGGGAAGAAGGUCUUCGGAUUGUAAACCUCUGUCCUUGGGGACGAAAAACAUGACGGUACCCAAGGAGGAAGCUCCGGCUAACUACGUGCCAGCAGCCGCGGAAAUACGUAGGGCGCGAGCGUUGUCCGGAAUUACUGGGCGUAAAGGGUGCGUAGGCGGCAGAGUAAGUCAGAUGUGAAAUCCCCGGGCUUAACUCGGGGGCUGCAUUUGAAACUGCUGUGCUUGAGUACGGGAGAGGAAAGCGGAAUUCCUAGUGUAGCGGUGAAAUGCGUAGAUAUCAGGAGGAACACCAGUGGCGAAGGCGGCUUUCUGGACUGUCACUGACGCUGAGGCACGAAAGCGUGGGGAGCAAACA